Molecule: ribosomal RNA, 383 nt
Filed under: uncultured bacterium
Lineage: Bacteria
Description: bacterial SSU rRNA
Rfam family: Bacterial small subunit ribosomal RNA
Source: RNAcentral
CCGCGUGCAGGAAGACGGCCUUCUGGGUUGUAAACUGCUUUUUUCAGGGAAGAAAACGCCCAUGCGUGGGAGAUUGACGGUACCUGAAGAAUAAGCACCGGCUAACUCCGUGCCAGCAGCCGCGGUAAUACGGAGGGUGCAAGCGUUGUCCGGAUUUAUUGGGUUUAAAGGGUGCGUAGGCGGCUUUUUAAGUCAGUGGUGAAAUGCGGCAGCUCAACUGCCGGAGUGCCAUUGAUACUGAAAAGCUUGAGUAUAGAUGAGGCAGGCGGAAUUUAUGGUGUAGCGGUGAAAUGCAUAGAUACCAUAAAGAACACCGAUAGCGUAGGCAGCUUGCUAAACUAUAACUGACGCUGAGGCACGAAAGCAUGGGUAGCGAACAGGAU